RNAcentral lists this ribosomal RNA (449 nucleotides) under uncultured bacterium. RNAcentral describes it as "partial 16S ribosomal RNA". It matches the Rfam family "Bacterial small subunit ribosomal RNA", at positions 29 to 523 of the family's 1533-position model. The record is from RNAcentral.
AACGAACGCUGGCGGCAGGCUUAACACAUGCAAGUCGAACGCAUCCUUCGGGGUGAGUGGCAGACGGGUGAGUAACGCGUGGGAACGUGCCCUUCAGUUCGGGAUAACGCAGGGGGACUUGGGCUAAUACCGGAUACGUUCGAGAGCAGAAAGAUUUAUCGCUGAAGGAUCGGCCCGCGACUGCUUAGCUAGUUGGUGGCGUAAUCGACCACCAAGGCGACGAUCAGUAGCUGGUCUGAGAGGAUGAUCAGCACCAUUGGGACUGGGAGACGUCCCAAACUCCUACGGGAGGAAGCAGUGCGGAAUAUGGGACGAUGGGUGCAAGCCGGAUCCAGUCAUGCCGUGUGAGUGAUUAAGGCCUUAGGGUUGUAAAGCUCUGUCGUCCGGGACGAUAAUGACGGUACCGGAAGAAGAAGCCCCGGCUAACUUCGUGCCAGCAGCCGCAGUAA